GGGGACAUAGCUCAGUUGGUAGAGUGCUUGCCUUGCAUGCAUAAAGCCUUGGGUUUGAUCCCCAUCACCACA
RNAcentral lists this transfer RNA (72 nucleotides) under Urocitellus parryii (Arctic ground squirrel). Its description in RNAcentral is "Spermophilus parryii (Arctic ground squirrel) tRNA". It matches the Rfam family "tRNA". Rfam says of the family: Transfer RNA (tRNA) molecules are approximately 80 nucleotides in length. Their secondary structure includes four short double-helical elements and three loops (D, anti-codon, and T loops). Further hydrogen bonds mediate the characteristic L-shaped molecular structure. tRNAs have two regions of fundamental functional importance: the anti-codon, which is responsible for specific mRNA codon recognition, and the 3' end, to which the tRNAs corresponding amino acid is attached (by aminoacyl-tRNA synthetases). tRNAs cope with the degeneracy of the genetic code in two manners: having more than one tRNA (with a specific anti-codon) for a particular amino acid; and 'wobble' base-pairing, i.e. permitting non-standard base-pairing at the 3rd anti-codon position. RNAcentral also lists the same sequence under 2 other names. The record is from Rfam by way of RNAcentral. Lineage: Eukaryota; Metazoa; Chordata; Mammalia; Rodentia; Sciuridae.